This 460-nucleotide ribosomal RNA is filed under the name uncultured bacterium. RNAcentral's name for it is "partial 16S ribosomal RNA". It matches the Rfam family "Bacterial small subunit ribosomal RNA", at positions 338 to 795 of the family's 1533-position model. The record is from RNAcentral.
CCUACGGGUGGCAGCAGUGAGGAAUAUUGGUCAAUGGGCGCGAGCCUGAACCAGCCACGUCGCGUGAAGGAUGACUGCCCUACGGGUUGUAAACCUCUUUUAUAAAGGAAUAAAGUGCGGCACGUGUGCCUUGUUGUACGUACUUUAUGAAUAAGGCUCGGCUAACUCCGUGCCAGCAGCCGCGGUAAGACGGAGGAUCCGAGCGUUAUCCGGAUUUAUUGGGUUUAAAGGGUGCGUAGAUGGGUUGUUAAGGCAGUCGUGAAAGUUUGCGGAUCAACCGUCAAAGUGCAAUUGAUACUGGCAGUCUUGAGUACAGGAGAGGUAGGCGGAAUUCGUGGUGUAGCGGUGAAAUGCUUAGAUAUCACGAAGAACUCCGAUUGCGAAGGCAGCUUACUAAACUGCCACUGACAUUGAUGCACGAAAGUGUGGGUAUCAAACAGGAUUAGAUACCCUUGUAGUC